AUUGAACGCUGGCGGCAUGCCUUACACAUGCAAGUCGAACGGUAACGGGUCCUUCGGGAUGCCGACGAGUGGCGAACGGGUGAGUAAUAUAUCGGAACGUGCCCAGUAGUGGGGGAUAACUGCUCGAAAGAGCAGCUAAUACCGCAUACUACCUGAGGGUGAAAGGGGGGGAUCGCAAUACCUCUCGCUAUUGGAGCGGCCGAUGUCAGAUUAGCUAGUUGGUGGGGGAAAGGCCGACCCAGGCAACGAUCUGUAGUUGGUCUGAGAGGACGACCAGCCAGACUGGGACUGAGACACGGCCCAGACUCCGACGGGAGGCAGAAGUGGGGAAUUUUGGACAAUGGGCGCAAGCCUGAGCCAGCAAUGCCGCGUGGAGGAAGAAGGCCUUCGGGUUGUAAACUGCUGUUGUCAGGGAAGAAAUCUUCUGGGCUAAUACCCCGGGAGGAUGACGGUACCUGAAGAAUAAGCACCGGCUAACUACGUGCCAGCGGCCGCAGUAA
RNAcentral lists this ribosomal RNA (500 nucleotides) under uncultured bacterium. RNAcentral's name for it is "partial 16S ribosomal RNA". It matches the Rfam family "Bacterial small subunit ribosomal RNA", at positions 29 to 523 of the family's 1533-position model. The record is from RNAcentral.